RNAcentral lists this long non-coding RNA (849 nucleotides) under Parus major (Great Tit). RNAcentral describes it as "lncRNA (ENSPMJG00000003123.1)". The record is from RNAcentral. Lineage: Eukaryota; Metazoa; Chordata; Aves; Passeriformes; Paridae.
UGGCCUGGAGCAAACAAACAUCUCAGCUUCGUUCUGCUCUUCAGCGGAGCGAGCAGCUCCUCUCAGACCGCGUAAGAGAACUGCAGGAGCUCAACGCCCAGAUCCGCUCCCUGCAGGAAGCCAUGCAGGACAAGGAUGCUGCCCAGGCAGCUCGGGAGGAGAAGCUGCUGCAGGAGCUGCAGGAGUCCCGAGCGGGCGAGCGGCGCUUGAGGGACUCGGUGCAGCAGCUGGAGGCUGAGGUCUCAGAGCUGCGCUCGAGGCUCCGUAGCUCCGAGGACAGAGCAGAGGCCUUGGCCACGCAGUGCCAGCAGGCCAGCGGUGCCCACUGCCAGGCUCGGUCCCAGCUGGACAAACUGCUCCUGGCUGUGCACCGCGCCGUCAGGGACAGCAGCAGCGCGGCCGCACGGAGCCCAGAAAAGGAUCAUGUGAACCUGACUGCUUCUCAGGCCAGGGAUGUCCCCACAGAGCUGGCGGUGGACGGAGCGGCAGCAGCCCUGCAGGACCUGUGGCAGCAGCUGGAGUGUUCCCAGAUAGAUCUGAACAAAGCCAGGAAGAAGAUUCGGGCCUUGAAGCUGCAGCUGAGCACGACACAGGCUCAGAGGGACUGUUUCAGUGCCCAUAACCAGGAGCUGCAAAAACAGCUGGCUGACAGCCAGGAAGGUACAGCUUCUCCUCUCCCACCCCGUCCUGUCUUCUGCAGGGAUCCCUGAUCUGCAGGGAUCUCCGACGCCACGCAGAGCAAAACCGCAGUGCCCAGAGGUGGGAGAGAAGAAAAACUACCAGCAGGAGACUCAUCCAUAGUGAAAGCUUUGUUGUGGAGGCAGAUCCCGUGGCUGGCGGCGCACCUGG